GGUCCAUCAUCAAAUGUGAGAUUUACAAGGAGGGAAAACAGUACACCUCUCUGAACAGUGUCUGGGAGGCUGUGGUUGCUGCUGCACGCAAUGUUGAUGGUGAACAGAUCAAAACACUGACAGAAUCCAUGGAUGGCAGGCUUUUGAGUGUCCUUGCAAAGAAAGGUGGCUAUAUUGGUCACUGAUUUUUUUUGUUUUGUUUUUGAAUGUCAGAAAUGUAUAUUUGUGAAUGUUGAGAUGUUAUAUUGGUUUCACUGGUAAUAAUAAAUAAUUGAAAUGGGUAUAUAUUUGUUUUUUGUUAAGUUGCCUAAUAAUUAUGCACAGUAAUAG
Pelobates cultripes (western spadefoot toad) is the source of this 330-nucleotide non-coding RNA. NCBI's taxonomy places the organism in Eukaryota, Metazoa, Chordata, Amphibia, Anura, Pelobatidae. The record is from the annotation of a GenBank genome assembly.